AUGUGCCUGGCUCCCUGUAUGCCACUCAUCUAUAGCAACAUUCCUUCCUGAUGAGGUUGCCUAGGAUGGAUGGCGUGCACGGAGCCAAGCAUAU
Molecule: microRNA precursor, 94 nt
Filed under: Brachypodium distachyon (stiff brome)
Lineage: Eukaryota; Viridiplantae; Streptophyta; Magnoliopsida; Poales; Poaceae
Description: pre miRNA mir-160
Rfam family: mir-160 microRNA precursor family
About the family: The hairpin precursors (represented here) are predicted based on base pairing and cross-species conservation -- their extents are not known. In this case the mature sequence is excised from the 5' arm of the hairpin.
Source: Rfam by way of RNAcentral